RNAcentral lists this ribosomal RNA (248 nucleotides) under uncultured bacterium. Its description in RNAcentral is "partial 16S ribosomal RNA". It matches the Rfam family "Bacterial small subunit ribosomal RNA", at positions 524 to 770 of the family's 1533-position model. The record is from RNAcentral.
UACGUAGGGUGCAAGCGUUGUCCGGAAUUAUUGGGCGUAAAGAGCUCGUAGGCGGUCUGUCGCGUCGGCUGUGAAAACUCGGGGCUCAACUCCGAGCUUGCAGUCGAUACGGGCAGGCUAGAGUUCGGCAGGGGAGACUGGAAUUCCACGUGUAGCGGUGAAAUGCGUAGAGAUGUGGAGGAACACCAAUGGCGAAGGCAGCCAUUCUGGGCCGAACACUGACGCUCAUGCACGAAAGCGUGGGAGCA